Molecule: ribosomal RNA, 581 nt
Filed under: Moesziomyces antarcticus
Lineage: Eukaryota; Fungi; Basidiomycota; Ustilaginomycetes; Ustilaginales; Ustilaginaceae
Description: partial large subunit ribosomal RNA
Rfam family: Eukaryotic large subunit ribosomal RNA
Source: RNAcentral
CCCGCUGAACUUAAGCAUAUCAAUAAGCGGAGGAAAAGAAACUAACAAGGAUUCCCCUAGUAACGGCGAGUGAAGAGGGAAGAGCCCAAGAUUGAAAGCUGGCGUCUUCGGCGUCCGCAUUGUAAUCUCAAGAAGUGUUUUCCGCUUCGGACCAAGCCUAAGUCCCCUGGAAAGGGGCAUCAUAGAGGGUGAUAAUCCCGUACAUGGCUUGGAGCGCCCGAGGCUUUGUGAUACGCUUUCUAAGAGUCGAGUUGUUUGGGAAUGCAGCUCAAAAUGGGUGGUAAAUGCCAUCUAAGGCUAAAUAUUGGGGAGAGACCGAUAGCGAACAAGUACAGUGAUGGAAAGAUGAAAAGAACUUUGAAAAGAGAGUUAAACAGUACGUGAAAUUGCCAAAAGGGAAGGGUAGGAGGUCAGAGAUGCGGCCUGGGAUUCAGCCUUGCUUUUGCUUGGUGUUUUUCCCAGAUUGCAGGCCAACGUCGGUUUUGGGCACUGGAGAAGGGUAGGAGGAACGUGGCACCCCUCGGGGUGUGUUAUAGCCUCCUACUGGAUACAGCGACCGAGACCGAGGACAGCAGCGUACU